RNAcentral lists this ribosomal RNA (497 nucleotides) under uncultured bacterium. Its description in RNAcentral is "partial 16S ribosomal RNA". It matches the Rfam family "Bacterial small subunit ribosomal RNA", at positions 28 to 507 of the family's 1533-position model. The record is from RNAcentral.
GAUGAACGCUGGCGGCGUGCCUAAUACAUGCAAGUCGAGCGAACAGACGAGGAGCUUGCUCCUCUGACGUUAGCGGCGGACGGGUGAGUAACACGUGGAUAACCUACCUAUAAGACUGGGAUAACUUCGGGAAACCGGAGCUAAUACCGGAUAAUAUAUUGAACCGCAUGGUUCAAUAGUGAAAGACGGUUUUGCUGUCACUUAUAGAUGGAUCCGCGCCGCAUUAGCUAGUUGGUAAGGUAACGGCUUACCAAGGCGACGAUGCGUAGCCGACCUGAGAGGGUGAUCGGCCACCCUGGAACUGAGACACGGUCCAGACUCCUACGAGAGGCAGCCGUAGGGAAUCUUCCGCAAUGGGCGAAAGCCUGACGGAGCCACGCCGCGUGAGUGAUGAAGGUCUUCGGAUCGUAAAACUCUGUUAUUAGGGAAGAACAAGUGUGUAAGUAACUAUGCACGUCUUGACGGUACCUAAUCAGAAAGCCACGGCUAACUACGUG